This 99-nucleotide non-coding RNA is filed under the name uncultured Ruminiclostridium sp. RNAcentral describes it as "THF riboswitch". It matches the Rfam family "THF (Tetrahydrofolate) riboswitch aptamer". Rfam says of the family: THF riboswitch presents a pseudoknot that joins P1-P2 and the loop of P3 and two THF binding. The record is from RNAcentral. Lineage: Bacteria; Bacillati; Bacillota; Clostridia; Eubacteriales; Oscillospiraceae.
CAGAGUAGAAAACCGUGCGUUAAGUGCGCAGUGUACGGAGAGUUGGCACUGCGACGAAAAGCGUUAAAGCGCUUGCGGUACGGCUUUCGCAUCUCGCUG